Non-coding RNA from Punica granatum (pomegranate), 86 nucleotides. The record is from Rfam. NCBI's taxonomy places the organism in Eukaryota, Viridiplantae, Streptophyta, Magnoliopsida, Myrtales, Lythraceae.
CCGACCUUAGCUCAGUUGGUAGAGCGGAGGACUGUAGUGUGUUCACAGCUAUCCUUAGGUCGCUGGUUCGAAUCCGGCAGGUCGGA